This 775-nucleotide ribosomal RNA is filed under the name Aspidosperma marcgravianum. RNAcentral's name for it is "eukaryotic LSU rRNA". The stretch from base 320 to 475 matches the Rfam family "5.8S ribosomal RNA". The record is from RNAcentral. Lineage: Eukaryota; Viridiplantae; Streptophyta; Magnoliopsida; Gentianales; Apocynaceae.
GACGUCGCGAGAAGUCCACUGAACCUUAUCAUUUAGAGGAAGGAGAAGUCGUAACAAGGUUUCCGUAGGUGAACCUGCGGAAGGAUCAUUGUCGAAUCCAGCAAAGCAAACGACCAGCGAACCUGUUCAAACGUGGGUGCAAGAGGGGGCCUCCCCCUCUUGGCGCCCCAUGCCGGUUGUAGCCCCAUGGGCUUCAGUCGUGCAUAAACCAAACCCCGGCGCGGAAAGCGCCAAGGACUACUCGAACAGAUGGCCUGCCUUAAGACCGCCCGUUGUGGUGCGGAUCGUCGGGACUAACGGCAUCUAUUGAAACCUAAACGACUCUCGGCAACGGAUAUCUCGGCUCUCGCAUCGAUGAAGAACGUAGCAAACUGCGAUACUUGGUGUGAAUUGCAGAAUCCCGUGAACCAUCGAGUUUUUGAACGCAAGUUGCGCCCGGAGCCAAUAGGCCGAGGGCACGUCUGCCUGGGCGUCACGCAUCGCGUCGCCCUCCCCACCCCUCGUCCUCAUUGGACGAGGGCAGUGCUGGGAGGGGGAAGAUGGCCUCCCGUGCUAGCGCGCGGCUGGCCUAAACAAGACUCCUUCGCAACGAAAGGCACGACAAGUGGUGGUUGGUGUCCUCAACUUGAACGCUGUCGUGCAAGACCUCGUUGCCGAAGCGACUGAGACCCUAAGCGGAGCCUCUUCAAGGAGCGCUCCCCAUGUUCGCGACCCCAGGUCAGGCGGGACUACCCGCUGAGUUUAAGCAUAUCAAUAAGCCGGAGGAAAAGAAACU